AAGGCUUUCGGGUCGUAAAACUCUGUUGUUAGGGAAGAACAAGUGCUAGUUGAAUAAGCUGGCACCUUGACGGUACCUAACCAGAAAGCCACGGCUAACUACAUGCCAGCAGCCGCGGUAAUACGGACGUGGAAAGCGUUAUCCGGAAUUAUUGGGGGUAAAGCGCGCGCAGGCGGUUUCUUAAGUCUGAUGUGAAAGCCCACGGUUCAGCCGUGGAGGGUCAUUGGAAACUGGGAAACUUGAGUGCAGAAGAGGAAAGCGGAAUUCCAUGUGUAGCGGUGAAAUGCGUAGAGAUAUGGAGGAACACCAGUGGCGAAGGCGACUUUCUGGUCUGUAACUGACACUGAGGCGCGAAAGCGUGGGGAGCAAACAGGAUUAGAUACCCUGGUAGUCCACGCCGUAAACGAUGAGUGCUAAGUGUUAGAGGGUUUCCGCCCUUUAGUGCUGAAGUUAACGCAUUAAGCACUCCGCCUGGGGAGUACGGGCUCCAGGCUGAGACUCAAAGGAAUUGACGGGGA
RNAcentral lists this ribosomal RNA (518 nucleotides) under Bacillus siamensis. RNAcentral's name for it is "bacterial SSU rRNA". It matches the Rfam family "Bacterial small subunit ribosomal RNA", at positions 411 to 919 of the family's 1533-position model. Lineage: Bacteria; Bacillati; Bacillota; Bacilli; Caryophanales; Bacillaceae. The record is from RNAcentral.